Molecule: long non-coding RNA, 1349 nt
Organism: Globicephala melas (long-finned pilot whale)
Lineage: Eukaryota; Metazoa; Chordata; Mammalia; Artiodactyla; Delphinidae
Source: RefSeq, a predicted model, not a curated record
AUAGUAUUUUAUUAUUAUUAUUAUUUUUGGCUGCAUGGCAUGGCAUACAUGAUCUUUUCUCCCUGACCAGGGAUUGAACCUGUGCUCCCUGAAGUAGAAGCAUGGAGUCUUCACCACUGGACCCCCAAACUUGCAGGAGAUAAAGUGGAGUGCGAGAAGAUGGUCACGUCCCAGGUCUCAGGCGAGUCCCUGGGACGGCUGCCAAGUGUGGAUUCUUGGCUUCGCACAGGAAAGAGUUCAAGAGAGAGCUAUAGUAAAGUGAAAGAAGGUUUAUUCAGGGAGAUACAUACUCCACAGACAGAGUGUGGGCCAUCUCUGAAGUUCUAGGUACAUAACGAUGAACUAUUCAACACCAAAAUCUUUGCAGCAUAGACAUUCUGAUUCCUGCUUCAGCUCUGCUCUGCAGUGGAGUUACCAUUACUAUUUUAUCUCUGGAGAUUAAGUGCCUCUAUUUGCCAUCUGCCACCCUGGAAUUCCAUUAUCCCCAUUGAUUUCUGGGACCCCAGAUCCAUGACAGUAGUUUCUGCUUAUAUUUCUGAACAAUAGAAAGUAGUCACAGGGACUUCCCUGGUGGUCCAGUGGUUAAGAAUGCAGGGGACGCGAGUUCCAUCCCUGGUUGGAGAACUAAGAUCCCACAUGCCACAGGGCAACUGAGCCGGUGUGUCGCGACUACUGAGCACCACAACUAUAUAGCCCACGUGCUGCAAACUACAGAGCCUGUGCACUGUGGAGCCCAUGAGCCACAACUAGAGAGAAGCCUGCACAUCGCAUCUACUGAGCCUGUGUGCUCUGGAGCCUGUGCACCACAACUAGAGAGAAGCCUGCUCGUCGUAAUGAAGAGCCCAUGCACCACAAUGAAAGAUCCCUCAGGGCGCAGCGAAGGUCCCACCUGCCCCAACCCGAUGUAGCUAAAUAAAUAAAUAAAUAUUUAAAAAGAAAAACAUAUGUAAUCACAAAGGAGCUCAUUAAGGACACUGUGGACUCCCCAUGAAUAUAUUUCUUCCAGACUUAAUGAAGGGAGUGUAUUCUGAUCCACCUGAGGGGUGUAUUAGGAGAUAAAUAAACAAAUAGGACAUCAUAAAUACAUUCUACCGUUCCGAUCUCACUAAGACUUUGGUUGUAUCCCUCAGUAAUAUGACAGGGAAUUUCUAGCAUUUAAUUUAAUUAAAUGUAAGCACUUUUUGGUCCCAGAUUUUAGUCAUUUGCAAAGGAAAAUGUUAAAGCUACUCCUAGCUUCUUGAUUUAACAUAUUGAAUCCAGAACCUUGGCUAAGUGAGACCUUAUUGCUCUCCUCAGCCUGAGCCAAAUUUGUAUUUCUUCUACCUUAAUCUAAAAACCUUAGGAUUAAU